This is a non-coding RNA of Phrynosoma platyrhinos (Desert horned lizard), 72 nucleotides long. Lineage: Eukaryota; Metazoa; Chordata; Lepidosauria; Squamata; Phrynosomatidae. The record is from the annotation of a GenBank genome assembly.
CACUGCAUGGCAUAGUGGUUUAAAUGUUGGACUGUGACUCUGGAGACCAGGGUUUGAUUCCCUGCUGGGUCA